CCCUUAGAUGUUCUGGGCCGCACGCGCGCUACACUGACGAAGUCAGCGAGCAUGUCCUACGCCGACAGGUGCGGGGAAUCUUGUCAAACUUCGUCGUGAUGGGGAUUGAUUAUUGAAAUUCUUGAUCAUCAACGAGGAAUUCCUAGUAAGCGCAAGUCAGCAGCUUGCGUUGAAUACGUCCCUGCCCUUUGUACACACCGCCCGUCGCUCCUACCGAUUGAGUGGUCCGGUGAGGCUUUGGGAUCUGAGCGGAAAGAGCGUUUCGCUGUUUCUGCUCGGAAAACUCAGUCGAACCUUAUCAUUUAGAGGAAGGAGAAGUCGUAACA
Molecule: ribosomal RNA, 326 nt
Filed under: uncultured eukaryote
Lineage: Eukaryota
Description: partial 18S ribosomal RNA
Rfam family: Eukaryotic small subunit ribosomal RNA
Source: RNAcentral